RNAcentral lists this ribosomal RNA (452 nucleotides) under uncultured bacterium. RNAcentral describes it as "bacterial SSU rRNA". It matches the Rfam family "Bacterial small subunit ribosomal RNA", at positions 29 to 524 of the family's 1533-position model. The record is from RNAcentral.
AGCGAACGCUGGCGGCAGGCUUAACACAUGCAAGUCGAGCGGGCGUAGCAAUACGUCAGCGGCAGACGGGUGAGUAACGCGUGGGAACGUACCUUUUGGUUCGGAACAACCCAGGGAAACUUGGGCUAAUACCGGAUAAGCCCUUACGGGGAAAGAUUUAUCGCCGAAAGAUCGGCCCGCGUCUGAUUAGCUAGUUGGUGUGGUAACGGCGCACCAAGGCGACGAUCAGUAGCUGGUCUGAGAGGAUGAUCAGCCACAUUGGGACUGAGACACGGCCCAAACUCCUACGGGAGGCAGCAGUGGGGAAUAUUGGACAAUGGGCGCAAGCCUGAUCCAGCCAUGCCGCGUGAGUGAUGAAGGCCCUAGGGUUGUAAAGCUCUUUUACCCGGGAAGAUAAUGACUGUACCGGGAGAAUAAGCCCCGGCUAACUUCGUGCCAGCAGCCGCCGUAAG